Molecule: ribosomal RNA, 497 nt
Filed under: uncultured bacterium
Lineage: Bacteria
Description: partial 16S ribosomal RNA
Rfam family: Bacterial small subunit ribosomal RNA
Source: RNAcentral
GAUGAACGCUGGCGGCGUGCCUAAUACAUGCAAGUCGAGCGAACGGACGAGAAGCUUGCUUCUCUGAUGUUAGCGGCGGACGGGUGAGUAACACGUGGAUAACCUACCUAUAAGACUGGGAUAACUUCGGGAAACCGGAGCUAAUACCGGAUAAUAUUUUGAACCGCAUGGUUCAAAAGUGAAAGACGGUCUUGCUGUCACUUAUAGAUGGAUCCGCGCUGCAUUAGCUAGUUGGUAAGGUAACGGCUUACCAAGGCAACGAUGCAUAGCCGACAUGAGAGGGUGAUCGGCGACAGUGGAACUGAGACACGGUACAGACUCCUACGGGAGGCAGCAGUAGGGAAUCUUACGCAAUGGGCGAAAGCCUGACGGAGCAACGCCACGUGCGGGAUGAAGGUCUUCGGAUCGUAAAACUCUGUUAUUAGGGAAGAACAUAUGUAUAAGUAACUGUGCACAUCUUGACGGUACCUAAUCAGAAAGCCACGGCUAACUACGUG